RNAcentral lists this ribosomal RNA (492 nucleotides) under uncultured bacterium. RNAcentral's name for it is "partial 16S ribosomal RNA". It matches the Rfam family "Bacterial small subunit ribosomal RNA", at positions 29 to 507 of the family's 1533-position model. The record is from RNAcentral.
AGUGAACGCUGGCGGUAGGCCUAACACAUGCAAGUCGAACGGCAGCACAGUAAGAGCUUGCUCUUACGGGUGGCGAGUGGCGGACGGGUGAGGAAUACAUCGGAAUCUACUUUUUCGUGGGGGAUAACGUAGGGAAACUUACGCUAAUACCGCAUACGACCUACGGGUGAAAGCAGGGGAUCUUCGGACCUUGCGCGAUUGAACGAGCCGAUGUCGGAUUAGCUAGUUGGCGGGGUAAAGGCCCACCAAGGCGACGAUCCGUAGCUGGUCUGAGAGGAUGAUCAGCCACACUGGAACUGAGACACGGUCCAUACUCCUGCGGGAGGCAGAAGUGGGGAAUGUUGGACAAUGGGCGCAAGCCUGGUCCAGCCAUACCGCGUGGGUGAAGAAGGCCUUCGGGUUGUAAAGCCCUUUUGUUGGGAAAGAAAAGCAGCAGGUUAAUACCCCGAUGUUCUGACGGUACCCAAAGAAUAAGCACCGGCUAACUUCGUG